UACGGAAGGUCCGGGCGUUAUCCGGAUUUAUUGGGUUUAAAGGGAGCGUAGGCCGGGUUUUAAGCGUGCCGUGAAAUGUCGGGGCUCAACCUUGACACUGCGGCGCGAACUGGAGUCCUUGAGUGCGCGGAACGUAUGCGGAAUUCGUGGUGUAGCGGUGAAAUGCUUAGAUAUCACGAAGAACCCCGAUUGCGAAGGCAGCAUACGGCAGCGCUACUGACGCUGAAGCUCGAAGGCGCGGGUAUCGA
Molecule: ribosomal RNA, 248 nt
Filed under: uncultured Prevotellaceae bacterium
Lineage: Bacteria; Pseudomonadati; Bacteroidota; Bacteroidia; Bacteroidales; Prevotellaceae
Description: partial 16S ribosomal RNA
Rfam family: Bacterial small subunit ribosomal RNA
Source: RNAcentral